RNAcentral lists this ribosomal RNA (731 nucleotides) under uncultured Neisseriales bacterium. RNAcentral's name for it is "bacterial SSU rRNA". It matches the Rfam family "Bacterial small subunit ribosomal RNA", at positions 63 to 780 of the family's 1533-position model. The record is from RNAcentral. Lineage: Bacteria; Pseudomonadati; Pseudomonadota; Betaproteobacteria; Neisseriales.
CGAACGGCAGCGGGGAGGAGCUUGCUUCUCUGCCGGCGAGUGGCGAACGGGUGAGUAAUACAUCGGAACGUGUCGAGAAGAGGGGGAUAACCACCCGAAAGGGUGGCUAAUACCGCAUAAAUUCUGAGGAAGAAAGCUGGGGACCUAGGAAUAGGCCUAGCGCUUUUUGAGCGGCCGAUGUCGGAUUAGCUAGUUGGUGAGGUAAAGGCUCACCAAGGCGAAGAUCUGUAGCGGGUCUGAGAGGAUGAUCCGCCACACUGGGACUGAGACACGGCCCAGACUCCUACGGAGGCAGCAGUGGGGAAUUUUGGACAAUGGGAGCAACCCUGAUCCAGCCAUGCCGCGUGUAUGAAGAAGGCCUUAGGGUUGUAAAGUACUUUUGUUAGGGAAGAAAAGUCAGCUGUGAAUAAUGGCUGAUACUGACGGUACCUAAAGAAUAAGCACCGGCUAACUACGUGCCAGCAGCCGCGGUAAUACGUAGGGUGCGAGCGUUAAUCGGAAUUAUUGGGCGUAAAGCGAGUGUAGACGGUUAUUUAAGCCAGAUGUGAAAUACCCGAGCCUAACUUGGGAGGUGCAUAUGGAACUGGGUAGCUAGAGUGUGUCAGAGGGAGGUAGAACUCCACGUGUAGCAGUGAAAUGCGUAGAGAUGUGGAAGAAUACCGAUGGCGAAGGCAGCCUCCUGGGAUAACACUGACGUUGAGGCUCGAAAGCGUGGGGAGCAAACAGGAUUA